This 895-nucleotide long non-coding RNA is filed under the name Melopsittacus undulatus (budgerigar). RNAcentral describes it as "lncRNA (ENSMUNG00000011349.2)". Lineage: Eukaryota; Metazoa; Chordata; Aves; Psittaciformes; Psittaculidae. The record is from RNAcentral.
CUCCCCCUAGCGGUCGAGGCUGGCGGCACACGGGGCCCUUCCGCCCUCCCGUGCAGUCCUCCACACAUCGCGCUCCAUUCCGUUUCUCUGCGUCCCACUGCGUCUCUCUCCACUCCUCGAAUCAAUACCUUGUUGUUAUUUUUUUUAAUAUAUAUAUGUGUUGUAGAAGGAUCUAUUUACAAGUCUUAAUUAUAAAAAGCCUAAAAAUUUGUCUUAAAUUUCCUCACCCUGUGGUCUCCUUUAGCCUUGUUUUUAAUAUGUUGAUGUCUGUGAGUUAGCCUCAGUAGGAUUCAAAGUACAUCAGCUGAAUACUUCAGAAGGAAGAAAUAAUCUUAUGGAAGAGAACAGAAUGAAAUGGCUGCAGAUGAACCUGACCCAGUAUUUACUUGUGUGUCUAACAGAAAAAAACGUAUAUAUUUUCAUGGAUCUCAGAAGCUUGCAAAUUUCUCUCCGAAGUAUGAAAGAAGAUUCUUUGAUUUGUUGCAUUCUGCAGGUUCUCUGUGGGCCAAUAUAAUAGGAUGCUGCAAGCAAGAGAGAGGAAUUACUCCCCAGGCAAGCAUAAAGGGAGAAAUAAAAUGUAACAGCAGUACAAACUCUAAUUUGGACUGAAAGUUUGGAGUGACACAAAUUAAAACACUGAAGUCUGGAAGAGUUUUAGUGUUGACUUUAGUGAGAAUUUUGCCCAGUUUAAUGUAGCAUAAUCCAGGCCAGGAUUUAAGAACACCCUGCGUGCUGAUACCAGGCAGCACCAAACUGUAUUGAAUCAGAUAGAGAGUGGAAAGUCAGAGCAUGCUGUCUGUUCUGAGUAGCUUCAAGAAAUAGUACCUUUUAAAAUCUGUAUGAUCAUUUUUAGACAAAGAAAAAACGCCCCAAUACUUAUUAAUAUCAUCAUCUG